GUACCGAAUGCUUGUUAUUUUUUUUGAUUGAUUUGUAAAAUAAAGUCCCUACCGAAUACAAAAAUUGGCCUUUUUAUAGCCCGAAAUCCCCUUUUCUUUUCUUUUUUUACAUUGCUUUUUUCUUUUAGAUUCUUCUAGCAUUUUACAGGUACAAAGUUGUACGGUGGUGACAUGGAGGCACACGUGGCGGCAAGCACGCCGUUGGGGCGUGCGGCGGUUGAGGCUUGGUUGCUGCUUAGGGUUUUUCUUUGUGUUUUUUUCUUUGCAAUUGGGUUUGGGUCUAAGUUGUAAUUGGGCUAUUUGGGCUGAUGUUAUUUUAUUUGGGCUAUAUUGGACUGUAAUUUAUUGGACUUUUAUUUUUUUUUGGUUUAUUUUUUGGUUUAUUUAAUUGGCCCCGGGCAAAUUGGGCCUAUUACAACAUUCAUUCACAUUCAUUCCCAUGUGAAUAACUAUAAGAAUGUAACAUCUUAUCAAAUAUUAAUCAAAUAAGAUGAAGAGAGAGAUUCGAUCUCGUUUUACACAAUAAACA
Molecule: long non-coding RNA, 529 nt
Filed under: Gossypium raimondii (Peruvian cotton)
Lineage: Eukaryota; Viridiplantae; Streptophyta; Magnoliopsida; Malvales; Malvaceae
Description: long non-coding RNA (GRAI_LNC006339)
Source: RNAcentral